This 658-nucleotide long non-coding RNA is filed under the name Heterocephalus glaber (naked mole-rat). Its description in RNAcentral is "lncRNA (ENSHGLG00000046098.1)". The record is from RNAcentral. Lineage: Eukaryota; Metazoa; Chordata; Mammalia; Rodentia; Bathyergidae.
CUGGGCAGGUGCUUCCUUGGCCUCGCCCCUGUGCAGCCCCCAUUUCCACGCCCUGGAAGUGACCCCUGCCGGGAGAAAGUGGGAGCAUUUGGGAGCAUGGUAGCGGCAGGCUUGUGGCGGACACGCGGACCGUGCCUGUGCGAAACCUUCAGAACCCGCAUUCGCCCCAGCCGCUCCUGGACCCAGGUCCACCCGUGCCGGAUCCCUCCCUGGCCACCUUCUGGUCCAGACCUGACUGUCACCUGCUCCACAUUUUCCUGGCUCCCCUGCUCGAUCCCGGCCUCCCAGGGAGCCGAUCUGGUGGGAUCAGACUUGGGAUUUUCAAAGGGAAAAAAGCUGAAUUUUCUUCUUUAGAGUUUUUGUUCUUAUAUCUGACUCCUGCUUUGCAAAAGCAUCGUGUUCAUUUUGGAAGCAGCUGUGAUGCUUGUUUCUCCAGGAGACAAAUUAAUAAAUUAAGAAGUCACCGCCACUGCCAGGCACCAGUCCCCCUCAGGAUCACUGGAUGUGAGGGGGGCCCGGUCCCCGAGCUCCCGCAUCGUGUUUCAGUGUCAUUGGAAAGGACACAGACUUCAGGGUGGUUCACGGCUGCUUCCAAGGUGUGGCAGUGUGGACAGCACCUGUCCCACUCCCCUCGAGGUGUCUGUGUGCGCACAGGGAC